AAAAUUCCAAAAAUCAAACUUUUUAAAAUAGGUUGUUUUUUUUGGAUAAAAUACUUAAAAUAUAAAAUAUAUUUAAAAAAUAAUUGCUGUAAAACCCCUUACUUUAUGAAAAAAUAUAUUUUAUUAUUAUUAUUAUAUAUUCAAAAAAUAUAUAUAAUAAAUAACAAAAUAAUAUAAAUAUUUUUUUUUUAAAUAAAUAAAAAUAAAACCAUUCUUUAUUUUCUUUAUGCAAAAUAUAAUUCCUCAUUUCUUUCAUUUGGUUUUUUUUUCUGAUUAUUAGUAUUUUGCAGAACAGACGCCGAUUGAGAAGCACUGAUCUUCAAGUGCGUACUAAAGCGAUAGACUCUUGAAGAGCAGGAGAAAACAGCAAACAGAUUUCGUGCUGAAGUUAUAAAUCCACUCACGUUCUUCAGGCUUUUAAGAUGAUCUCCUCCUCCUCCUCGACCUUCACCCGUCUCUCCUUCUUCUGUUCAAGUCUCCUUAUUGUUUCCUGCUGUCUCACCUCCUUUAACUCUCUCAGCUUCUCCUCCGGCUGUCUGUCUCUGCGGUGAAGAUGACCUCCACAAACUCCUCCUCAAGGUGUAAAUAUAGAGCCACAGCAGGAGCAGUGAUCAAUUCAAAGCAUCCAGAUAGACUUACAGUGAGAUCAGUGGACAGAAGACCUGGAAUGACACAAUGGACCAAUGCAUUGUGGGAAAAGAGAUCUGUGGAAACAAUGCAUCGAGAUCUCAGCAAAAUAAAACUCUCAGAUCUGCAUUAAAGCCUCUGAAGAAGAGAUCAGAUGAGAUCCUGCCGCUCGCGUUUGUCUGCAGUCACAUCAGCAAUCGAUUUGGAAAUGACCCCAGAUAAAGCUUUCCUCACAAGAUAUCUCAAUAAUGUCUCAAACUGUGCAAGUUUGCAGUCAUCUAUGCUUGUAAUUUCCUUAAAUCGGUUAUUGCAGAUAUAUGCCCCCCCACCUGCCCUUCCAAUCCGAUCGGUUCAAGCUCAAUCAGACCGACUGAGGUGUUUACAUGAAGGAUUUUCAGUCAAUUGAGUCAUCAAUCGAAUUAUAAAUGGAUAUAGAAACAUACUGAAUAGCCUUUUCCCUUGAGAAACGCAUCAGAAGAUAAACUGCAUUUCAUGCUGACUUUCACGUAACUCAGAUUAGCGCAGCAAACACUGUCAAACCCGAAAAUGUUAUUAAAAUGUUUUGGUAAAUGCUACAUUGCAGUAAUGACAUGUAUUUCAGUAUGUCUUCCUUUGGUCUCAUGCAUUGUGUGUAACAAAUCAUGCAUUAUACAUUAAUUUAGUAUUCAAAUAAGUUAAAACAGAGACAUAUGACAAAUAAAAAAUAUAAAACUUGUGAAUAUGGCCA
Molecule: long non-coding RNA, 1354 nt
Organism: Cyprinus carpio (common carp)
Lineage: Eukaryota; Metazoa; Chordata; Actinopteri; Cypriniformes; Cyprinidae
Source: Ensembl